AGUGUAUGUAUUUGCCUGUUGCUUAUGAUUCACAGUGUUCUUGCUGGAAGGAUUCAUUUUUCUGAGGCUUGAGCAGUGCCUUGUCCAGGAUUCUGUUCUUCCUUGGGUCCUUGGAUUCUCACACUGCUGUCGUUUUUCCUGUUCAGUCCUAAUCCAGACCUCUGUGAUCUGUCACAUAGCACCCUCCUCCCUCUCUGUGAGUCUCCUGCUUGGCUCUGUCAUAUUCCUCUUUUUUUUCCUUUUCUAGAAAGAAAAGUCAAAAUCGAACAGUUCAGCAGCCCGAGAACCUAAUGGCUUUCCCUCUGAUGCCUCAGCCAAUUCCUCUCUCCUUCUUGAAUUCCAGGACGAAAACAGCAACCAGAGUUCCGUGUCUGACGUCUAUCAGCUUAAGGUGGACAGCAGCACCAACUCAAGCCCCAGCCCCCAGCAGAGUGAGUCCCUGAGCCCAGCACACACCUCCGACUUCCGCACGGAUGACUCCCAGCCCCCAACCCUGGGCCAGGAGAUCCUGGA
This 513-nucleotide small RNA is filed under the name Pongo abelii (Sumatran orangutan). Its description in RNAcentral is "retained intron". The record is from RNAcentral. Lineage: Eukaryota; Metazoa; Chordata; Mammalia; Primates; Hominidae.